Molecule: ribosomal RNA, 550 nt
Filed under: uncultured Glomeromycotina
Lineage: Eukaryota; Fungi; Glomeromycota
Description: SSU rRNA
Rfam family: Eukaryotic small subunit ribosomal RNA
Source: RNAcentral
UUGGAGGGCAGUCUGGUGCAGCAGUUGAGGUAAUUCCAGCUCCAAUAGCGUAUAUUAAAGUUGUUGCAGUUAAAAAGCUCGUAGUUGAACUUCGGGGUUUACCCAUUGGUCAGGCUUAAUUGUCUGCACUGGUGAGAUGAAUCUCUCUUCUUCUGAGGAACUUUCAUGCCAUUUAUUUGGUGUGAUGGGAAAUCAGGACUGUUACUUUGAAAAAAUUAGAGUGUUUAAAGCAGGCUAACGUCUGAAUACAUUAGCAUGGAAUAAUGAAAUAGGACGGACUGAUUCUAUUUCGUUGGUUUCUAGGAUCACCGUAAUGAUUAAUAGGGAUAGUUGGGGGCAUUAGUAUUCAAUUGUCAGAGGUGAAAUUCUUGGAUUUAUUGAAGACUAACUACUGCGAAAGCAUUUGCCAAGGAUGUUUUCAUUAAUCAAGAACGAAAGUUAGGGGAUCGAAGACGAUCAGAUACCGUCGUAGUCUUAACCAUAAACUAUGCCGACUAGGGAUCGGACGAAGUUAAUUUUAUAAUGACGCGUUCGGCGCCUUACGGGAAAC